Sabethes cyaneus is the source of this 422-nucleotide long non-coding RNA. RefSeq lists it as uncharacterized. The record is from RefSeq and is a predicted model, not a curated record. The transcript is spliced from 3 exons. NCBI's taxonomy places the organism in Eukaryota, Metazoa, Arthropoda, Insecta, Diptera, Culicidae.
CAGAGCAGCUUCCGCAAUGUGCUUUAGCUACAGCUGAUUUUAUUCACCUACACGACAAAUUAUUUGACGUCUUCAAUUGCAAGGAGAAGUAUACUGAUUCAAUUGGAAAGCCUUUUAGAACUCCGAUUACUGAAAACUCUUAUCAUUUGGAAUUUCUUGAAAAAGUUAAGUUGGGUUUUCAACGGAUGUAUUACACAACCAACACUUGUUUCGACGUAAAAGAGAAUUUGCACGAUUUUGGUUUACACGAAACUUAUUCUUCGCAUAUAAUCGGGUUGAGUGUAACAUGAACAAUGGAUUAGGCAUCGUCAUCCAUUAUGACCCCGACGUCGCGCUUCGUGGUAAAAAUGUUUUUCACCAACAUCAUAACUACCGCUGAAAUCAUAUUUGUCCCAUGCCGCAAAAUACGAAAAUGAAGAAAA